RNAcentral lists this non-coding RNA (148 nucleotides) under Homo sapiens (human). The record is from Rfam by way of RNAcentral. Lineage: Eukaryota; Metazoa; Chordata; Mammalia; Primates; Hominidae.
GCCGGGUGUGGUGGUGCAUGCCUGUAAUCCCAGCUACUUGGGAGGCUGAGGCAGGAGAAUUGCUUGAAUCCAGGAGGCAGAGGUUGCAGUGAGCCGAGAUCGUGCCACUGUACUCCAGCCUGGGCAACAGAGUGAGACUCUGUCUCAA